AGGACGAGGAGCACCCGCGAUCCCCUUAGCCAGUGGCUUUACACAUCCCCAACCUAGGACAGGUAUCCACCGGAGCACCACAGGAUGGCUCCCCACAGAGGGCAGCAGGCUAACUGGGCAGCUGAUCUCAGAAACUACCGGAUUAUUGUUAAAAAACAAACACGUUAUGGAAGACUACUGACCAGUAGCCAGAAGGAAGGUCCUGAGUCAUCGAAGUGUUCUCCAGCUGGCAAAAGAGUAUGAAAACCCCCUGGCCAGAUCUGUCCUUGCUGGAGCAUCGAGAAUAGAGUACGACUACGAUACCAAAAUCUACAAAAUGUGAAAGAGUAAAGGAAAACUAUCAGUCCAUGACGUCCGGAAUGUUUGGCCCACUGGUGCACUCCUGUAUCCUUGCGCAAUGCACGUACUCACCAGGUACUUCCAUAAGAAGACUAAAUCACUACUUCGUGCCGCAACCAAGUUUGUUUCUUCUGGGAAGAAGAAUGGAAAACUUUUUCUCUGGAUGUGUGAGUGCCCCAGAAGAAAUAACCUAAACAUACUGACAUUUAGGGGUCCCCCAAUGAAAUGACUCAGCCAGAUCAUCUUACAGUGAUGUCCACCAGUUAGCAAGGCUUGUUCACGUGCGGAGCGCUUCCAUAGUUUUUCUGUGUGUGUGUCUAAAAUCUUAACAAAAGACAAAUGGCACCCCAGGUAUUUCUCUCUAUCUCUCUCAUCUUUCCCUGUAGUGUCUACAUUGUGGUGUGAGUGCUAAAAGCCAAAGAGAACAAGCCAGAAGAAGUCAUGUCCCCUUCAGUGGCCUAGCCUUGGAAGUUCCUCAACAUCAUUUGUACAUCAUUCUGAUUACAAAGGUCCACCGGGUUCAAUUAGAGGCAACAUAGUCCCCACCCUUGAUGGAGGAGUGUAAGUUGUUAUUCUGUAAGAAGGGCACAUGGAGUAGGACACAAAAAAGUAAUAAAAACAGCUUAUACACAAAGGAUGGAGAAGGAGAAUGACAUCACAAGUCCUUAGCAGAGCUGGAUGCCAGCAGACAAGGAACAGUGCCUCAGUGAGGAGCAAGGAAGAUAACUUUCAACCUAGAUUUCUAUACUCAGCCAAGCUAUGGCUAAAGAGUUAAGACAGGAUGAAGACAUUUGUAUAUAUUCAACUUUUUUAAAUGUUUAUUUAUUUAUUUUUGAGACACAGAGAGCAUGAA
Long non-coding RNA from Leopardus geoffroyi (Geoffroy's cat), 1192 nucleotides. RefSeq lists it as uncharacterized. The record is from RefSeq and is a predicted model, not a curated record. NCBI's taxonomy places the organism in Eukaryota, Metazoa, Chordata, Mammalia, Carnivora, Felidae. The transcript is spliced from 6 exons.